AGCAGCCGCGGUAAUUCCAGCUCCAAUAGCGUAUAUUAAAGUUGUUGCAGUUAAAAAGCUCGUAGUUGAAUUUCGGGAUCAAUUAAUCGGUCGUGCCUCUGGUACGCACUGGUUUUAUUGGUUUCUCCCUUCUGACGAACCAGGAUGUCAUUAAUUUGGUGUCUUGGAGAAUCAGGACUGUUACUUUGAAAAAUUAGAGUGUUUAAAGCAGGCUAACGCUUGAAUACAUUAGCAUGGAAUAAUGAAAUAGGACGUUUGAUCCUAUUUUGUUGGUUUCUAGGAUCGACGUAAUGAUUAAUAGGGAUAGUUGGGGGCAUUAGUAUUCAAUUGUCAGAGGUGAAAUUCUUGGAUUUAUUGAAGACUAACUACUGCGAAAGCAUUUGCCAAGGAUGUUUUCAUUAAUCAAGAACGAAAGUUAGGGGAUCGAAGACGAUCAGAUACCGUCGUAGUCUUAACCAUAAACUAUGCCGACUAGGGAU
This 479-nucleotide ribosomal RNA is filed under the name uncultured Glomus. RNAcentral's name for it is "SSU rRNA". It matches the Rfam family "Eukaryotic small subunit ribosomal RNA", at positions 569 to 1053 of the family's 1831-position model. Lineage: Eukaryota; Fungi; Glomeromycota; Glomeromycetes; Glomerales; Glomeraceae. The record is from RNAcentral.